Molecule: ribosomal RNA, 122 nt
Filed under: Petromyzon marinus (sea lamprey)
Lineage: Eukaryota; Metazoa; Chordata; Hyperoartia; Petromyzontiformes; Petromyzontidae
Source: RNAcentral
GCCUACGACCAUAUCACCCUGAAUGCGCCCGAUCUCGUCUGAUCUCCUCGGAAGCUAAGCAUGGUCGAGCCUGGUUAGUACUUGGAUGGGAGACUGCCUGGGAAUGCCAGGUGUUGUAGGCU